Molecule: transfer RNA, 75 nt
Filed under: Ehrlichia japonica
Lineage: Bacteria; Pseudomonadati; Pseudomonadota; Alphaproteobacteria; Rickettsiales; Anaplasmataceae
Also listed under: 4 other names
Description: tRNA-Asp (GTC) (tRNA-Asp-GTC-1-1)
Rfam family: tRNA
About the family: Transfer RNA (tRNA) molecules are approximately 80 nucleotides in length. Their secondary structure includes four short double-helical elements and three loops (D, anti-codon, and T loops).
Source: RNAcentral
GGGGGCGUAGUUCAGUUGGUUUAGAACGUAAGCCUGUCACGCUUAAGGCCGCGAGUUCGAGUCUCGUCGCUCCCG